Molecule: ribosomal RNA, 448 nt
Filed under: uncultured prokaryote
Description: bacterial SSU rRNA
Rfam family: Bacterial small subunit ribosomal RNA
Source: RNAcentral
UCGGGAAUCUUGCACAAUGGGCGAAAGCCUGAUGCAGCAACGCCGUGUGAGCGAGGAAGGCCUUAGGGUCGUAAAGCUCUGUUGUUGGGGACGAAGGGCGAAGGGUUAAUAGCCCCUAGCCUGACGGUACCCUCCGAGAAAGCCCCGGCCAACUACGUGCCAGCAGCCGCGGUAACACGUAGGGGGCUAGCGUUGUCCGGAAUUAUUGGGCGUAAAGGACGCGCAGGCGGCCCGGUAAGUCUGCUGUGAAAUCUUGGGGCUCAACCCCAGGCUUGCAGUGGAUACUGCCGGGCUAGAGGACGGUAGAGGCGAGUGGAAUUCCCGGUGUAGCGGUGAAAUGCGCAGAUAUCGGGAGGAAUACCGGUGGCGAAGGCGGCUCGCUGGGCCGUUCCUGACGCUGAGGCGUGAAAGCUAGGGGAGCGAACCGGAUUAGAUACCCGUGUAGUCC